Molecule: ribosomal RNA, 572 nt
Filed under: Pichia sp. NRRL YB-1982
Lineage: Eukaryota; Fungi; Ascomycota; Pichiomycetes; Pichiales; Pichiaceae
Description: partial small subunit ribosomal RNA
Rfam family: Bacterial small subunit ribosomal RNA
Source: RNAcentral
AGUCAAUGAUCGAAAGAUUGAUCUAGUUACUUAGAAAGAUGAAGCUUAUGAUAAUUUAAUUAUUAGAAUUUACAUUUUAAUAAUUUAAAUGGAAAAAUAAGAAUGAAGAAUAUAAAGUCUGGUCAAUCAAUUAAUAAUGAUAAUUGAUAUGACUAUGUCCCAACCAAGAGUAGUGCCAGCAGUUGCGGUUAGACUACGGGGGCUUACGUUAACCAAUAGUUGGCUUAAAGCAUCCGCAGGUGAUAUUGAAAAAAUAUUAGAGUUAUUUUUGGAAGAUAUUGAAGGAUUAUGGGAAGAUAUAAAAAGUAGUGAUGAUAAUUCGACAUUUAAAUAUUGAAAAUUAUAUUUCUAAAAUAACUGACACUCAGGGAUUAAGGCGUGAGUAGCAAAUCGGAUUAGAUACCCGACUAGUUCACGUUGUAAACUAUGAAUGCUAUUGAUUAUAUCAUGAUUUUUUAUCAAUCUUUUAACAAUAUAAGUGAAAACUUAAGNAUUCCGCCAGNCGAGUAUACUCUCAAGAGUGAAACUCAAGACAAUAGGCGGUUACAGGAAUAUGCAGUGGAUUGUGUUAU